GACGAACGCUGGCGGCGUGCUUAACACAUGCAAGUCGAACGGUGAAGCGCCUUCCUUUCUGGUGGGUGUGGAUGAGUGGCGAACGGGUGAGUAACACGUGAGUAACCUGCCCCCUUCUUCUGGAUAACCGCAUGAAAGUGUUGCUAAUACGGGAUAUUCUGGGUCUGUCGCAUGAUUGGUCUGGGACAGUUAUUGUUUCGGUGGGGGAUGGGCUCGCGGCCUAUUAGCUGGUUGGUGGGGUGAUGGCGUACCAAGGCGGCGAUGAGUAGCCGGCCUGAGAGGAGGAUGGGCGGUCACGCAGGUGAGGAGACGCGGACAAGACUCCGGCGGGCAGCAGCAGUGGAGAAUAUGGAACGGGGGGAGCAAGGAUGAUGCAGCGACGCCGCGGGAGUGAUGGAGUCCGUCGGGUUGUGAACCGCUUUCGGGAGUGAAGCAGGCUGGCCGUGUCUGUGGGUGGGUUGACGGUAGCUGGAUAAAAAGCGCCGGCUAACUACGUG
This 497-nucleotide ribosomal RNA is filed under the name uncultured bacterium. Its description in RNAcentral is "partial 16S ribosomal RNA". It matches the Rfam family "Bacterial small subunit ribosomal RNA", at positions 28 to 507 of the family's 1533-position model. The record is from RNAcentral.